GAUGAAGAACGUAGCGAAAUGCGAUAAGUAAUGUGAAUUGCAGAAUUCAGUGAAUCAUCGAAUCUUUGAACGCACAUUGCGCCCGCCAGUAUUCUGGCGGGCAUGCCUGUUCGAGCGUCAUUACAACCCUCAGGCCCCCGGGCCUGGCGUUGGGGAUCGGCGGAGCCCCCCGUGGGCACACGCCGUCCCCCAAAUGCAGUGGCGGUCCCGCCGCAGCUUCCAUCGCGUAGUAGCUAACACCUCGCGACUGGAGAGCGGCGCGGCCACGCCGUAAAAAACCCAACUCUUCUGAAGUUGACCUCGAAUCAGGUAGGAAUACCCGCUGAACUUAAGCAUAUCAAUAAGCGGAGGA
RNAcentral lists this unclassified non-coding RNA (352 nucleotides) under soil metagenome. RNAcentral's name for it is "partial contains 5.8S ribosomal RNA, internal transcribed spacer 2, and large subunit ribosomal RNA". The stretch from base 1 to 120 matches the Rfam family "5.8S ribosomal RNA", at positions 35 to 154 of the family's 154-position model. The record is from RNAcentral.